AUUGAACGCUGGCGGCAGGCCUAACACAUGCAAGUCGGACGGUAGCACAGAGGAGCUUGCUCCUCGGGUGACGAGUGGCGGACGGGUGAGUAAUGUCUGGGGAUCUGCCCGAUAGAGAGGGAUAACCACUGGAAACGGUGGCUAAUACCGCAUAACGUCGCAAGACCAAAGAGGGGGACCUUCGGGCCUCUCACUAUCGGAUGAACCCAGAUGGGAUUAGCUAGUAGGCGGGGUAACGGCCCACCUAGGCGACGAUCCCUAGCUGGUCUGAGGGGAUGACCAGCCACACUGGAACUGAGACACGGUCCAGACUCCUACGGGAGGCAGCAUUGGGGAAUAUUGCACGAUGGGCGCAAGCCUGAUGCAGCCAUGCCGCGGGUAUGAAGAAGGCCUUCGGGUUGUAAAGUACUUUCAGCGGGGAGGAAGGCGAUGUGGUUAAUAACCGCGUCGAUUGACGUUACCCGCAGAAGAAGCACCGGCUAACUCCGUGCCAGCCGCCGCUGUAA
RNAcentral lists this ribosomal RNA (506 nucleotides) under uncultured bacterium. Its description in RNAcentral is "partial 16S ribosomal RNA". It matches the Rfam family "Bacterial small subunit ribosomal RNA", at positions 29 to 523 of the family's 1533-position model. The record is from RNAcentral.